RNAcentral lists this ribosomal RNA (254 nucleotides) under uncultured bacterium. RNAcentral describes it as "partial 16S ribosomal RNA". It matches the Rfam family "Bacterial small subunit ribosomal RNA", at positions 524 to 776 of the family's 1533-position model. The record is from RNAcentral.
GACAGAGGGGGCAAGCGUUGUUCGGAAUUACUGGGCGUAAAGGGCGCGUAGGCGGCCGCCUAAGUCAGACGUGAAAUCCCUCGGCUCAACCGGGGAACUGCGUCUGAUACUGGGUGGCUUGAAUCCGGGAGAGGGAUGCGGAAUUCCGGGUGGAGUGGUGAAAUGCGUAGAGAUCCGGAGGAACACCGAAGGCGAAGGCAGUGUCCUGGCGAGUAUCCUGACGCUGAGGUGCGAAAGCCAGGGGAGCGAACGGG